Molecule: ribosomal RNA, 80 nt
Filed under: Aspergillus chevalieri
Lineage: Eukaryota; Fungi; Ascomycota; Eurotiomycetes; Eurotiales; Aspergillaceae
Description: partial 28S ribosomal RNA
Source: RNAcentral
UUGACCUCGGAUCAGGUAGGGAUACCCGCUGAACUUAAGCAUAUCAAUAAGCGGAGGAAACUCCUUUACCGAGUGCGGGC